Molecule: long non-coding RNA, 644 nt
Organism: Siniperca chuatsi (mandarin fish)
Lineage: Eukaryota; Metazoa; Chordata; Actinopteri; Centrarchiformes; Sinipercidae
Exons: 3
Source: RefSeq, a predicted model, not a curated record
GCGCUGCCAUGUGCGUGCCGGGUGGACACUUGUCACAGAUUAAGGAUUCCCCGGUGAACGGGUCUCGGUACUCAUAGGUGGGAACGGAUUCCACCGCUAACACACCGCGGAGGACACCAGAGAGCAGGAACAGCACCGUCGCAGCAGCUGGAGGACCUGCUGCUGGGGAGAGCAGGCCUUCUUCAGUUUCUCCAGGCUCUUACGAUCCACCCUCCGCCCGGGAAGACUCUCCAACAGCCGCUCCAGGGGCACUGAGGACAGUCGCAGCGAGGAGAGUGACUGAAAGACCGCCUCCUCACACAGGUUCACAUCUGGAUUAAAUUGUAAGAGAAAGACAGACAGGUGGACAGGAAAUGCAAGAAUUUGGAAAAGAAUGGAAUCUGGACAACGAACCUGACCGAGGAAAUCCCCUGCCUUCAGGAAUGAAAAUGACCACAUUCAGUUCUGACUGAUUUUAAGUUGUUGACAAUUGAGGUUUGCUCAAAAUCAUCAUCACGUGUAUGUAUGUUGUGUAUACACUGUACAAACAAUCUCUACCCUGAUUCCACCAUUCCAUUGCAUUAGUCCCAAAACCUCCCAUACAAUUUCUAUUAGUGAUUAAACCCUACUGCAGAGUUGUAAAGCGUGUAUGUCUUACCAGUGUG